RNAcentral lists this ribosomal RNA (484 nucleotides) under uncultured bacterium. Its description in RNAcentral is "partial 16S ribosomal RNA". It matches the Rfam family "Bacterial small subunit ribosomal RNA", at positions 30 to 507 of the family's 1533-position model. The record is from RNAcentral.
AUUGAACGCUGGCGGCAGGCCUAACACAUGCAAGUCGAGCGGAUGAAGGGAGCUUGCUCCUGGAUUCAGCGGCGGACGGGUGAGUAAUGCCUAGGAAUCUGCCCGGUAGUGGGGGAUAACGUCCGGAAACGGGCGCUAAUACCGCAUACGUCCUGAGGGAGAAAGUGGGGGAUCUUCGGACCUCACGCUAUCAGAUGAGCCUAGGUCGGAUUAGCUAGUUGGUGGGGUAAAGGCCUACCAAGGCGACGAUCCGUAACUGGUCUGAGAGGAUGAUCAGUCACACUGGAACUGAGACACGGUCCAGACUCCUACGGGAGGCAGCAGUGGGGAAUAUUGGACAAUGGGCGAAAGCCUGAUCCAGCCAUGCCGCGUGUGUGAAGAAGGUCUUCGGAUUGUAAAGCACUUUAAGUUGGGAGGAAGGGCAGUACGUUAAUACCUUGCUGUUUUGACGUUACCAACAGAAUAAGCACCGGCUAACUUCGUG